Chlorocebus sabaeus (green monkey) is the source of this 1366-nucleotide long non-coding RNA. RefSeq lists it as uncharacterized. The record is from RefSeq and is a predicted model, not a curated record. Lineage: Eukaryota; Metazoa; Chordata; Mammalia; Primates; Cercopithecidae.
CACACUGCCAAAGUUAAAGAAUCUGUGUUUAGGGCCCCCAAAUCCAAAUUUUAUAUAGGCCUCUUUUCAUCCCAUCAGAUAUACUACUCUUUCUUGCCUGAUAAGAGAAAGAAGCCUAGACCAAUGAAAUUAAGCCCACCCUGGAAGGAAAGGUGGCCCCUUUAAGAACAUGGAAUGGUCUGGAACCCUUGAUUCUGCCCACUAUGACAGCACGAAGCAAAGGUCAGAGCGACUGGCCAUAGGCACAAGUGAAGCUUUCUUGCCAGUCUUCGUUGAACUCACACUUCAAAAAUCAUGGUUUUCUUUCUUUGUUUUAUCGUGGUUUUCUGUCUUAUUAUAAAGAAGAUUGCAGAAAAGAGGCAGAGAAGGAGAGAUGAAAGACCAAAAAAGAGUAUCUAAACAACAGAGGACGAAUACUGGAAUCUCUGGAACUCAUCCCUUCAGAGGUUCCUUCCCAGAAGAACUGUAUCUCCACUACCUCGGUUCUCUGGAAUAAAUUACAACCUUAUGAUUCAUGAGUCCAAAGAGGACAGUCUUUACAUCUAUCCAUCUUAUAACUGAUGUGGUUCUCAAGGAACAAAAAACCUAAGCAAAUUAAGGGAACAAGCAUUUAUCAAUCAUGCAAAUGAAGCCACUCUUUGUAUGUAUUAUGCAUCUCAAUCUCUAUAUAUGGUUAUCAACGUAAUAAUUCAAGUAAAGAGUUUUUCUACACCAGGAGUUCCAAAGUCAAGCUACAUUCAAAGAGAGAAACAACACACUGGAUACUCACAUUAUGAAGAGUCAGACAUUCCUUAUAGGAUAGAACAUGUGCAAUUGAAAUCUAACUAUUAAGUCUUCUGUGGAAAAAAAACGUAUAUGUGUACUAUAUGGCCAUCUGAUCAUUUUAAAAGCAUACUCAGAAUACUUUAAGAAAACACUAUGAGUAUGAAUUAUCUAUGCUCUAAACACUUUACUUCUCUUUCUGCGUUUAUGCCAUCACUUCUUAUCCCUUUAUACCUUGAACUUUUUCUUUACCCCUCUCUCACUCUAUGACUCCUGAACAAAAUUUUCAUUUCCAAUAUCCAGCUUCAUUAACUAAGAAGGGAUGGCAAAUGUUUAUUAUCACCAGAAUGCAGCAUAACACUUGCAUACUGGUUUAUGACAUGCAUCUUUAUAAAGUGCUCAGUGAAAUGCAUAAACGAUUGAUUGCAAAUUGGUCAAAGAGAAUACUGAGUACUUUAUUAGUUACUGGCUAAAGCUAAGGAGUUACACAAAAGCAUCAUAUCUAAAUAAGGAAUUUCAUUUGAAAUAUGUAAUUUCAUUAUGAAUAAAUUCCAUAAAAUAAACUAAGAAUUGCUAAAUGAUUUCUGUAAACGGACUGGAGCUG